UGCCGCAUAGCUCAGCAGGUAGAGCAGCUGACUGUUAAUCAGCGGGUCGUAGGUUCGAAUCCUACUGCGGCAGCCA
RNAcentral lists this transfer RNA (76 nucleotides) under Armatimonadota bacterium. RNAcentral's name for it is "tRNA-Asn". It matches the Rfam family "tRNA". From Rfam's summary of the family: Transfer RNA (tRNA) molecules are approximately 80 nucleotides in length. Their secondary structure includes four short double-helical elements and three loops (D, anti-codon, and T loops). Further hydrogen bonds mediate the characteristic L-shaped molecular structure. tRNAs have two regions of fundamental functional importance: the anti-codon, which is responsible for specific mRNA codon recognition, and the 3' end, to which the tRNAs corresponding amino acid is attached (by aminoacyl-tRNA synthetases). tRNAs cope with the degeneracy of the genetic code in two manners: having more than one tRNA (with a specific anti-codon) for a particular amino acid; and 'wobble' base-pairing, i.e. permitting non-standard base-pairing at the 3rd anti-codon position. The record is from RNAcentral. RNAcentral also lists the same sequence under 1 other name. Lineage: Bacteria; Bacillati; Armatimonadota.